Molecule: ribosomal RNA, 292 nt
Filed under: uncultured bacterium
Lineage: Bacteria
Description: partial 16S ribosomal RNA
Rfam family: Bacterial small subunit ribosomal RNA
Source: RNAcentral
GUGCCAGCCGCCGCGGUAAUACGGAGGGUGCAAGCGUUAAUCGGAAUUACUGGGCGUAAAGCGCGCGUAGGCGGUUUGUUAAGUCAGAUGUGAAAUCCCCGGGCUCAACCUGGGAAUGGCAUUUGAGACUGGCAGGCUAGAGUGUGGUAGAGGUGAGUGGAAUUUCAGGUGUAGCGGUGAAAUGCGUAGAGAUCUGAAGGAACAUCAGUGGCGAAGGCGACUCACUGGGCCAUUACUGACGCUGAGGUGCGAAAGCGUGGGUAGCAAACAGGAUUAGAUACCCCAGUAGUCC